This is a long non-coding RNA of Oncorhynchus tshawytscha (Chinook salmon), 1408 nucleotides long. RefSeq lists it as uncharacterized. The record is from RefSeq and is a predicted model, not a curated record. NCBI's taxonomy places the organism in Eukaryota, Metazoa, Chordata, Actinopteri, Salmoniformes, Salmonidae. The transcript has 3 exons.
UACAGAGGACAGGACAGGUUAGUGAUGUGUUGUAGAGGUACAGAGGACAGGACAGGACAGGUUAGUGAUGUGUUGUAGAGGUACAGAGGACAGGACAGGUUGGUGAUGUGUUGUAGAGGUACAGAGGACAGGACAGGACAGGUUGGUGACGUGUUGUAGAGGUACAGAGGACAGGACAGGACAGGUUGGUGACGUGUUGUAGAGGUACAGAGGACAGGACAGGUUAGUGAUGUGUUGUAGAGGUACAGAGGACAGGACAGGUUAGUGACGUGUUGUAGAGGACAGGACAGGUUGGUGACGUGUUGUAGAGGUACAGAGAGGACAGGACAGGUUAGUGACGUGUUGUAGAGGACAGAGGACAGGACAGGUUAGUGAUGUGUUGUAGAGGACAGACAGGGCAGGACAGGACAGGUUAGUGAUGUGUUGUAGAGGUACAGAGGACAGACAGGACAGGUUGGUGACGUGUUGUAGAGGUACAGAGGACAGGACAGGACAGGUUGGUGACGUGUUGUAGAGGUACAGAGGACAGGACAGGUUAGUGAUGUGUUGUAGAGGUACAGACAGCAGGACAGGACAGGUUAGUGAUGUGUUGUAGAGGGACAGAGGACAGGACAGGUUGGUGACGUGUUGUAGAGGUACAGAGGACAGGACAGGACAGGUUGGUGACGUGUUGUAGAGGACAGGACAGGUUAGUGACGUGUUGUAGAGGUACAGAGGACAGGACAGGUUGGUGACGUGUUGUAGAGGUACAGAGGACAGGACAGGUUAGUGAUGUGUUGUAGAGGACAGGACAGGGCAGGACAGGACAGGUUAGUGAUGUGUUGUAGAGGUACAGAGGACAGGACAGGACAGGUUGGUGACGUGUUGUAGAGGUACAGAGGACAGGACAGGACAGGUUAGUGACGUGUUGUAGAGGACAGAACAGGACAGGUUAGUGGCGUGUUGUAGAGGUACAGAGGACAGGACAGGACAGGUUAGUGACGUGUUGUAGAGGUACAGAGGACAGGACAGGUUAGUGACGUGUUGUAGAGGUACAGAGGACAGGACAGGUUAGUGACGUGUUGUAGAGGUACAGAGGACAGGACAGGACAGGUUAGUGACGUGUUGUAGAGGUACAGAGGACAGGACAGGUUAGUGACGUGUUGUAGAGGUACAUAGGACAGGACAGGUUAGUGACGUGUUGUAGAGGUACAUAGGACAGGACAGGUUAGUGACGUGUUGUAGAGGUACAGAGGACAGGACAGGUUAGUGACGUGUUGUAGAGGUACAUAGGACAGGACAGGUUAGUGACGUGUUGUAGAGGUACAUAGGACAGGACAGGUUAGUGACGUGUUGUAGAGGUACAGAGGACAGGACAGGUUAGUGACGUGUUGUAGAGGUACAGAGGACAGGACAGGUUAGUGACGUG